RNAcentral lists this ribosomal RNA (501 nucleotides) under Triticum aestivum (bread wheat). Its description in RNAcentral is "partial small subunit ribosomal RNA". The record is from RNAcentral. Lineage: Eukaryota; Viridiplantae; Streptophyta; Magnoliopsida; Poales; Poaceae.
AUGGGACAACAUGAUACUGCUGAACCUGUUAAGUCGAUCUGGAAAUCAUGCUGCCUCCCCAGGCACAAGUUCUUCUGCUGGUUGGUGCUCAAUGAUAGAAUUAACACAUGUGAUCUGCUUACCAGGAAAUUCUUUCAUUUGGAUUCCACAUCCUGUGUUUUAUGCAAUGAUGAAGAGAUGGAGGACAGAACCCAUUUACUAUUUUCAUGCACAUUCAGCCAAAACUUCUGGUGGAAUACUGGUAUUGAAUGGAACACUGAUUUGACCAUUCAUGACAUGAUUACUGAUGGCAAACUGAGAUAUAAUCUACCUUUCUUCAUGGAAAUUGUGACUGUGGGAUGCUAGAGUAUAUGGAAUCAGAGAAAUGGACUGAUAUUUGAGGAUAUACCAUGCUCCAUAACCUCUUGCAAGUUUGACUUCAUCACCACUUUCAAUCUCACCAUGUUGAGAGCCAAGCCCAGCCUCAAGGAUGGCAUGUCAUCCUGGAUAGACAGCAUUUGA